Molecule: long non-coding RNA, 911 nt
Organism: Gasterosteus aculeatus aculeatus (three-spined stickleback)
Lineage: Eukaryota; Metazoa; Chordata; Actinopteri; Perciformes; Gasterosteidae
Source: Ensembl
CUCUCAGACAGAACCAUCCACCAUCUUUUUGUUAAGUGCUCCAGAUUCCUUUCAGGACUGGGGAAAGUAGCGCUGAAAGACGUUCUGUGUUCAGUUAGAGACAUUGCUCUGGUUCGGAAUUUUUGACUUGUUCUUUCUUUUGUAUAUAUAUUGUGUUCUGUGGGAUUUAGUGUUUUUUAUCAUUUUUCUUUGAUAAACAGUAUCUCUUUCCCUCUUUCUCUGAGUGGAAGGAGUGCUGAGUGAAGGGAGCGUGAGAUGAAUUGUGGUUGUGUUUUUCUGUCAGUUAUCUUGUUUAGUUUCUGCAUCUAUGUGGUGUGUAUUGUGGUUUGAAUGUGUAGCGUGACUUUUUUUUUGUGGGUUAGUUUUUGCAUGUUUGCAGCCGAUCAGCAUGCUGCAUGAUGGACUGGCGCAGACGCGUGAAGCACAGCGUGAAGAACAACGUGAAGCACGGCAUGAAGCACGGCGUGAAGCUUGCGUGCUGGGUGGACGACUGCGGCAUGGCCGUGAGGGGAUUGGUGGGUGGAAUGUUCUUUUUGAAGAGCUGGUGAAGAAUGGGAAAGUAUCCUCAGGAUGCAGGUCUCCUCUGCUGAGAUGUGGUAUCUCACAGGAGACUGCUCCACAUUGUCCUCACCAAGGCCCAUGGUUCUCAGCCUGGUGAUUAAGGUUUCCAUGGACGGUGGUUCUAUCUGAACUCUGGACAGAGAUUAGGAAGUCAGGUUCUCCACAUCAACAGUAAAAUGGUAUGAUGUUAAGCUCACAACUAUGUCUGCUGCCCCAAGUGUCCAAUAAAUAAAAGAUAUUAUGAUUAAUAUUAUUAAUAGGCUAAAUAAUAAUAACAAUUCAUUAUUACCAUUAAUUGUGGUAAAAAGAGUAUGCUAGAGUGUAUAUUUUGUUAAUUUGAUAAUGUUUUA